The sequence is a small RNA, 86 nucleotides long. It matches the Rfam family "isrK Hfq binding RNA". The record is from Rfam.
GUCAUGGCAAAAUCCAUGACCCGGAUUGGAACCCGGAACUAUCCAGUAGGCGUGCAAGCGCCUCUAUUUCGUACGGCGCUUUUUUU